This is a long non-coding RNA of Chinchilla lanigera (long-tailed chinchilla), 1955 nucleotides long. RefSeq lists it as uncharacterized. Lineage: Eukaryota; Metazoa; Chordata; Mammalia; Rodentia; Chinchillidae. The transcript has 3 exons. The record is from RefSeq and is a predicted model, not a curated record.
UCUAAAUGUGCACACUUUAAAAUAGAAACAUUUACCCAACGUGCUGAUUAGCAAUUUCCCAGUUCCAAAGGCCCAAUUGCAUUUAAGAUGCAAAAGAUUAAAGUGCCUAAACAGAUAAAGUUAAUAGUUCAUCUUCCUAAAUGCUUUUGUAUGCUCUAAGUCUUACAUUUCCUUCCAACUCUGUAUACUCAAGGGCUAGAGCUACUUUGAUGUGGAUUUGUGUUUUACCCACAUGCUGUUGUUGGAACGGAAUCUGACUGCAUCUCAGACACCCAGAGACAUGUUCUGCACAUGAGCGGAGGCCAUGUGGCCCCUGUUAUUUCACACUGUAUGUGCAAGUUUUAGGGGGAAAGUACACUGUUUUUCUACCAUGUGUUACACAUAUUCAACUUUCAUUUUGGCUAAAAAUCAUCUCAGCUGCUAAUAUUUGGUCUCUGGGUGAUUUUGCUUCUCUCCUGCAUAAAAAUUGGUUAAGAUGGCAUUGAUUGGAAAAUGCAAUCCCCAAGGGACGCCUUAUUUGCUGGCCCAUGCGGCAUCUCCAUCUCUGUAGGUAGAACGGAAUUUGUAAAUGCCUCUAGUCCUUUAGGACAUGUGGGCCAUUGCCAGUUCAAAAGUUCAUAUGAUACCAUAUGUCCUAAUAAUUUUUAUCUACAUCUAAAACAAUACAGGACUGUCAAAUAAAAUCCUACAUGCAAACAAAUGAUGGAAUGCAGGGGGACCCUCGGCUCUAGCCUUUUCUUCUUUGUCCGACAAGCUAAUGCAAUAAGGCCAAUAAUAAAAGGUUGUGCACUAGGCCUAAAGCCUGUGACUGAUAAAAAAGAAAUGUUGGAAACCGAUGAAGCUUUUGCACAAUUAGAUUUUUUGAGGCUGUGCUGUAAGGAUUGCCCAGAGCCUGUUCAGUCCUGAUUGAUGGUAAAAUCAUAACUACAUCAUAUUAGCUGUAGAGUUCACUGACAGGUUACUACAGAUUAAUAUUGCCACUGCUGUUCACUUACCAUCAAACCAGGGGAAAUAUGAAUUGAGCCGUUCUUCUAACAAACCCUGAAUAUUAAAAGGUAAGGUGUUCUACCGAACAAUCUCCCCGUGCCACUAGGGAACGACACAAACAAUGUCUAUUUGAGAGAUAUGCAGAUACACUACAGCAUACUAAUUAGUUCUCUGCUAGGAGAGUCCCAUCACAUCCGGCUGGCUAAUGACCCUUCAUGUGAGCUUGUUCCUCCAGAGCUCUUGGCUACAGGAUUUCAAACGACACCCUAAAACAGGGAGCUGCAAUCUUGGUGAUUUAAAUGCCAGCUGCCAGGCAAAUUGCAGCAACAUAAAUUUGGCCCAUGUGUUUUGCAUCGUGUGAAUAUGAAACAGGGGACAUCAAGGAACUGAGUUUUGCUUGCUUUGGACUCUAGGGGUUUGGAGUGAGUUAUUUUCAGAGAUGGUUAUCCAUUGUAUCAGGUGUGUGUGUGUGUGUGUGUGUGUGUGUGUGUGUGUGUGUAUGGGGGUCUCAUGCCACUUUUGCUUUACUUUAAAAGUCUUGAGAAUGGAAGAAAUAAACAUGUUGCUCUCCUAAUUCAAUCACGCUGAUAAUAAUGACAUUCUGAAAUGAAAGCAUUUGAUCUUUUUGUCAUCUCAAAUCUUGGAUAAGAAGUCAACUGUGAAAUAUAACCAGAGCCUGUGACUUGCAAAAGUCAUUCCUGAUGAGAGGCAGUCAGGAAGGAAGCACUUGAGGAAGAGAGGUCUUUUCACAUCCAGCCUGCUCUGAUAGUAAGAAUCCAGGCCUGGCAUCAGCAGGAGACCUGUGCUUUGGGCUCUGGACCGGUGCUUGUCCUGUCAUAACUCGGAAUGCUGGUGGCCCUUGGUGUUCAAAGCCCAGCAUCCCCAAGAAGCUGGCUGAAUACACAGUCUGGGCUUUACCUCACACAGUUCAGAGGGGAAGAUGAUGCACUGCCAGUCUCCAGGAGAAG